CGGGGCGUAGCGCAGCCUGGCAGCGCACCUGAAUGGGGUUCAGGUGGUCGGAGGUUCAAAUCCUCUCGCCCCGACCA
Molecule: transfer RNA, 77 nt
Filed under: Nitrospinae bacterium RIFCSPLOWO2_12_39_16
Lineage: Bacteria; Pseudomonadati; Nitrospinota
Description: tRNA-Pro
Rfam family: tRNA
About the family: Transfer RNA (tRNA) molecules are approximately 80 nucleotides in length. Their secondary structure includes four short double-helical elements and three loops (D, anti-codon, and T loops). Further hydrogen bonds mediate the characteristic L-shaped molecular structure. tRNAs have two regions of fundamental functional importance: the anti-codon, which is responsible for specific mRNA codon recognition, and the 3' end, to which the tRNAs corresponding amino acid is attached (by aminoacyl-tRNA synthetases). tRNAs cope with the degeneracy of the genetic code in two manners: having more than one tRNA (with a specific anti-codon) for a particular amino acid; and 'wobble' base-pairing, i.e. permitting non-standard base-pairing at the 3rd anti-codon position.
Source: RNAcentral